CUUAAGCCCUUAGAGUUUGAUCCUGGCUCAGGAUGAACGCUAGCUACAGGCUUAACACAUGCAAGUCGAGGGGAAACGAUAUUGGAAGCUUGCUUCCGAUAGGCGUCGACCGGCGCACGGGUGAGUAACGCGUAUCCAACCUGCCCAUCACUUGGGGAUAACCUUGCGAAAGUAAGACUAAUACCCAAUGACGUCUCUAGAAGACAUCUGAAAGGGAUUAAAGAUUUAUCGGUGAUGGAUGGGGAUGCGUCUGAUUAGCUUGUUGGCGGGGUAACGGCCCACCAAGGCGACGAUCAGUAGGGGUUCUGAGAGGAAGGUCCCCCACAUUGGAACUGAGACACGGUCCAAACUCCUACGGGAGGCAGCAGUGAGGAAUAUUGGUCAAUGGGCGAGAGCCUGAACCAGCCAAGUAGCGUGCAGGAUGACGGCCCUAUGGGUUGUAAACUGCUUUUAUAAGGGAAUAAAGUGAGAGUCGUGACUCUUUUUGCAUGUACCUUAUGAAUAAGGACCGGCUAAUUCCGUGCCAGCAGCCGCGGUAAUACGGAAGGUCCGGGCGUUAUCCGGAUUUAUUGGGUUUAAAGGGAGCGUAGGCCGGAGAUUAAGCGUGUUGUGAAAUGUAGACGCUCAACGUCUGCACUGCAGCGCGAACUGGUUUCCUUGAGUACGCACAAAGUGGGCGGAAUUCGUGGUGUAGCGGUGAAAUGCUUAGAUAUCACGAAGAACUCCGAUUGCGAAGGCAGCUCACUGGAGCGCAACUGACGCUGAAGCUCGAAAGUGCGGGUAUCGAACAGGAUUAGAUACCCUGGUAGUCCGCACGGUAAACGAUGGAUGCCCGCUGUUGGUCUGAAUAGGUCAGCGGCCAAGCGAAAGCAUUAAGCAUCCCACCUGGGGAGUACGCCGGCAACGGUGAAAUGGUUCAAGACGGAAGGGCGAA
This 934-nucleotide ribosomal RNA is filed under the name uncultured bacterium. RNAcentral describes it as "bacterial SSU rRNA". It matches the Rfam family "Bacterial small subunit ribosomal RNA", at positions 1 to 925 of the family's 1533-position model. The record is from RNAcentral.